This 1089-nucleotide ribosomal RNA is filed under the name Flavobacterium chryseum. RNAcentral's name for it is "bacterial SSU rRNA". It matches the Rfam family "Bacterial small subunit ribosomal RNA", at positions 38 to 1140 of the family's 1533-position model. The record is from RNAcentral. Lineage: Bacteria; Pseudomonadati; Bacteroidota; Flavobacteriia; Flavobacteriales; Flavobacteriaceae.
GGGACUCGGCGGCUUACACAUGCAAGUCGAGGGGUAUAUUUCUUCGGAGAUAGAGACCGGCGCACGGGUGCGUAACGCGUAUGCAAUCUACCUUUUACAGAGGGAUAGCCCAGAGAAAUUUGGAUUAAUACCUCAUAGUAUUAUAGAAUGGCAUCAUUUUAUAAUUAAAGUCACAACGGUAAAAGAUGAGCAUGCGUCCCAUUAGCUAGUUGGUAAGGUAACGGCUUACCAAGGCUACGAUGGGUAGGGGUCCUGAGAGGGAGAUCCCCCACACUGGUACUGAGACACGGACCAGACUCCUACGGGAGGCAGCAGUGAGGAAUAUUGGACAAUGGGCGCAAGCCUGAUCCAGCCAUGCCGCGUGCAGGAUGACGGUCCUAUGGAUUGUAAACUGCUUUUAUACGAGAAGAAACACUCCUACGUGUCGGAGCUUGACGGUAUCGUAAGAAUAAGGAUCGGCUAACUCCGUGCCAGCAGCCGCGGUAAUACGGAGGAUCCAAGCGUUAUCCGGAAUCAUUGGGUUUAAAGGGUCCGUAGGCGGUUUAAUAAGUCAGUGGUGAAAGCCCAUCGCUCAACGGUGGAACGGCCAUUGAUACUGUUAGACUUGAAUUAUUAGGAAGUAACUAGAAUAUGUAGUGUAGCGGUGAAAUGCUUAGAGAUUACAUGGAAUACCAAUUGCGAAGGCAGGUUACUACUAAUGGAUUGACGCUGAUGGACGAAAGCGUGGGUAGCGAACAGGAUUAGAUACCCUGGUAGUCCACGCCGUAAACGAUGGAUACUAGCUGUUGGAAGCAAUUUCAGUGGCUAAGCGAAAGUGAUAAGUAUCCCACCUGGGGAGUACGUUCGCAAGAAUGAAACUCAAAGGAAUUGACGGGGGCCCGCACAAGCGGUGGAGCAUGUGGUUUAAUUCGAUGAUACGCGAGGAACCUUACCAAGGCUUAAAUGUAGAUUGACCGGUUUGGAAACAGAUCUUUCGCAGACAAUUUACAAGUGCUGCAUGGUUGUCGUCAGCUCGUGCCGUGAGGUGUCAGUUAAGUCCUAUACGAGCGCAACCCCUGUGUAGUUGCCAGCGAGUCAUGUCGGGAACUC